This 371-nucleotide ribosomal RNA is filed under the name uncultured beta proteobacterium. Its description in RNAcentral is "SSU rRNA". It matches the Rfam family "Bacterial small subunit ribosomal RNA", at positions 242 to 605 of the family's 1533-position model. The record is from RNAcentral. Lineage: Bacteria; Pseudomonadati; Pseudomonadota; Betaproteobacteria.
CAGCUAGUUGGUGGGGUAAAGGCCCACCAAGGCGACGAUCAGUAGCUGGUCUGAGAGGACGAUCAGCCACACUGGGACUGAGACACGGCCCAGACUCCUACGGGAGGCAGCAGUGGGGAAUUUUGGACAAUGGGGGCAACCCUGAUCCAGCAAUGCCGCGUGUGUGAAGAAGGCCUUCGGGUUGUAAAGCACUUUUGUCCGGAAAGAAAUCGCACUUACUAAUAUUAGGUGUGGAUGACGGUACCGGAAGAAUAAGGACCGGCUAACUACGUGCCAGCAGCCGCGGUAAUACGUAGGGUCCAAGCGUUAAUCGCAAUUACUGGGCGUAAAGCGUGCGCAGGCGGUUGUGCCAAACCGAUGUGAAAUCCCCG